This 253-nucleotide ribosomal RNA is filed under the name uncultured bacterium. RNAcentral's name for it is "partial 16S ribosomal RNA". It matches the Rfam family "Bacterial small subunit ribosomal RNA", at positions 524 to 776 of the family's 1533-position model. The record is from RNAcentral.
UACGUAGGUGGCGAGCGUUGUCCGGAUUUGCUGGGCGUAAAGGGAGCGUAGGCGGACUUUUAAGUGAGAUGUGAAAUACUCGGGCUCAACUUGAGUGCUGCAUUUCAGACUGGAAGUCUAGAGUGCAGGAGAGGAGAAUGGAAUUCCUAGUGUAGCGGUGAAAUGCGUAGAGAUUAGGAAGAACACCAGUGGCGAAGGCGAUUCUCUGGACUGUAACUGACGCUGAGGCUCGAAAGCGUGGGGAGCAAACAGG